GGAUCACUCAGCCGCGGAACCCUUUGGAGGAACUCAAGCCUAGCUCUGGGGGAUCAAAUGUGGGGCUCACCCAUCCCCAGACAGAGGCCUCAGGGGCUAUAGAGUUUGUUGCUGACCCUGCAGCCCUGGCCACCAUCCUGUCAGGUGAGGGAGUGAAGAGCUGUCCCCUGGAGUCCCGGUCCAGUCUGGCUCAGAGAGUGCUAGUGCGUGAGAGAAAGGGAGGCACCCACAUCCAGAGGGGCCAGAGUGCACGGUCUUCCGCAUACCUGGCUCCCAGAAUCCGCGCCCACCAAGCGGAUCCCGCCAGGGCUUCCUGCUUCUCAAGGCUGGAGGGCCCAGGGCUCCGAGACCGCACUUUUUCCUCACAGAGGUCAGAGGCUCUGAACCCACGUGCAGGUUCCUCCUUUCAUUCCUCCGCUCGCCCCAGUUUACAGGAGCUCAGAAGAGAGACCUGUGGCGGUAGCAGGGAUGGAUCCUGUACUGACAGCAGGACCUCAGCAAGCCAGGCCUCGAGACUGCUCCUGAAGACCCCGGUGCAGCCUGCUUCCUUAACCCUCAGAGGAGACCACGAGGCUGUUCCUCACUCAGGUGGAGAAGGAGGACCCAAACUGGGUCUGGCUCAACGAGUUCCAUUAAAAGAAAGCCUAACACACACCAGGACCACAUAUUCAUCCAUGAAACGCUUUACCACUCGACGGAAAACCCAAUUCACACCCCUCCGGUCACUACCUAGAGUCCAGCAG
Molecule: long non-coding RNA, 743 nt
Filed under: Rattus norvegicus (Norway rat)
Lineage: Eukaryota; Metazoa; Chordata; Mammalia; Rodentia; Muridae
Description: long non-coding RNA NONRATT030715
Source: RNAcentral